CAACCCACAGUAUCUACACCCCCAAACUACAACUUUCUUCCCACAAAAAUUUCAUCUUGGCCAUAAAAUAUCACAUUGCACAUUUGUCACGCCCAACCCAGCCAGCCUAUCCAAUGACCUUCCUGGCUGGGACUCGAGAUCCAUUUUUAUAUUUCUCCGUUGAAAACUUACUUUUCAGGCCUUAUUCAUUAUCUUAGUCACAAUUCAACCCACAAAUUUCCAACACAGGGCCAUCUUUCGACACGAAUGGGU
This 252-nucleotide unclassified non-coding RNA is filed under the name Hevea brasiliensis (rubber tree). Lineage: Eukaryota; Viridiplantae; Streptophyta; Magnoliopsida; Malpighiales; Euphorbiaceae. The record is from RNAcentral.